GUGGGGAAUAUUGGACAAUGGGCGAAAGCCUGAUCCAGCCAUGCCGCGUGUGUGAAGAAGGUCUUCGGAUUGUAAAGCACUUUAAGUUGGGAGGAAGGGCAGUAAGUUAAUACCUUGCUGUUUUGACGUUACUGACAGAAUAAGCACCGGCUAACUUCGUGCCAGCAGCCGCGGUAAUACGAAGGGUGCAAGCGUUAAUCGGAAUUACUGGGCGUAAAGCGCGCGUAGGUGGUUUUGUAAGUUGGAGGUGAAAUCCCCGGGCUCAACCUGGGAACUGCCUCCAAAACUGCAUGACUAGAGUACGGUAGAGGGUAGUGGAAUUUCCUGUGUAGCGGUGAAAUGCGUAGAUAUAGGAAGGAACACCAGUGGCGAAGGCGACUACCUGGACUGAUACUGACACUGAGGUGCGAAAGCGUGGGGAGCAAACAGGAUUAGAAACCCGUGUAGUCC
Molecule: ribosomal RNA, 450 nt
Filed under: uncultured bacterium
Lineage: Bacteria
Description: partial 16S ribosomal RNA
Rfam family: Bacterial small subunit ribosomal RNA
Source: RNAcentral